UUCUUCGGGGUCGGGUGAAAGUCCCAACCGGCGGUAGAGUCCGCGACCCGGUGUUGUUUUUCACACUGGCUGAUCCGGUGAGAUUCCGGAACCGACAGUACAGUCUGGAUGAGAGAAGAG
This 120-nucleotide non-coding RNA is filed under the name Merdimonas faecis. RNAcentral's name for it is "FMN riboswitch (RFN element)". It matches the Rfam family "FMN riboswitch aptamer (RFN element)". From Rfam's summary of the family: The RFN element is a highly conserved domain that is found frequently in the 5'-untranslated regions of prokaryotic mRNAs that encode for flavin mononucleotide (FMN) biosynthesis and transport proteins. This element is a metabolite-dependent riboswitch that directly binds FMN in the absence of proteins. In Bacillus subtilis, the riboswitch most likely controls gene expression by causing premature transcription termination within the 5' untranslated region of the ribDEAHT operon and precluding access to the ribosome-binding site of ypaA mRNA. Lineage: Bacteria; Bacillati; Bacillota; Clostridia; Lachnospirales; Lachnospiraceae. The record is from RNAcentral.